UAGGGAAUCUUCGGCAAUGGACGAAAGUCUGACCGAGCAACGCCGCGUGAGUGAAGAAGGUUUUCGGAUCGUAAAACUCUGUUGUUAGAGAAGAACAAGGACGUUAGUAACUGAACGUCCCCUGACGGUAUCUAACCAGAAAGCCACGGCUAACUACGUGCCAGCAGCCGCGGUAAUACGUAGGUGGCAAGCGUUGUCCGGAUUUAUUGGGCGUAAAGCGAGCGCAGGCGGUUUCUUAAGUCUGAUGUGAAAGCCCGCGGCUCAAACGGGAAAGGUCAUUGGAAACUGGGAGACUUGAGUGCAGAAGAGGGGAGUGGAAAUCCAUGUGUAGCGGUGAAAUUCGUAGAUAUAUGGAGGAACACCAGUGGCGAAGGCGGCUCUCUGGUCUGUAACUGACGCUGAGGGUCGAAAGCGUGGGGAGCAAACAGG
RNAcentral lists this ribosomal RNA (429 nucleotides) under Chloroflexota bacterium. RNAcentral describes it as "Chloroflexi bacterium partial 16S ribosomal RNA". It matches the Rfam family "Bacterial small subunit ribosomal RNA", at positions 355 to 776 of the family's 1533-position model. The record is from RNAcentral. Lineage: Bacteria; Bacillati; Chloroflexota.